GAUUCGGAGGGCACUUCGUCGGUUGCCCGGUUUGAUAGGCAUGCCCCAGCAACGCUCCGGCUUAUACUUUUUAUUACCGUUUGUUGCCUGCGCCUACGCAUCUCGACCAGUAUUCACCCGACUCAUUCUCCUGACAUCAGUUUCAUGCUUGUUUAACUGGUCUGAUCGCAGCAAAACACAAGGAUUCAACGGCUCUACGGCUCAACCAUUUCGCAGGUACAUCUGAAGAUGCGUAUAUAUAAAAAAAUACCGCCUGCUCCUGCCUCCUCCCUGGAUCUGGGACACCCGGCUCUGUACCCCCCAGUUCAACGACGGAACUAACGGUGACUUCAAUGGGAGAAGCAAUGGCACAAGAAUCCACAUCUGACCACUGUAGGGGCAGGCUUUGAUUACCUCAAGUGCCACUGGCACUACAUUUUUCUUUUUUUUUUUUACUCAGAAGUAAUGCUCUAUCAUCC
Long non-coding RNA from Calypte anna (Anna's hummingbird), 458 nucleotides. RefSeq lists it as uncharacterized. Lineage: Eukaryota; Metazoa; Chordata; Aves; Apodiformes; Trochilidae. The transcript is spliced from 3 exons. The record is from RefSeq and is a predicted model, not a curated record.